This is a non-coding RNA of Acanthosepion pharaonis, 108 nucleotides long. NCBI's taxonomy places the organism in Eukaryota, Metazoa, Mollusca, Cephalopoda, Sepiida, Sepiidae. The record is from the annotation of a GenBank genome assembly.
ACACAUCACGUUCAAACACCGGUUCCCGUACGGUCACCAAAGUUAAGCAACGUCGAGUCUGACCAGUACCUAGAUGGGCGUAUGCUUGGGAAUACAAGGUACUGUAUG